AAUCAACGCUGGCGGCGUGCCUCAGACAUGCAAGUCGAACGAUUAAACUUUCCUUCGGGAAAGAUAUAAAGUGGCGCACGGGUGAGUAACACGUAGGUAAUGUACCUUUGGGUGGGGAAUAACCAUCGGAAACGAUGGCUAAUACCGCAUAAUGCAGCGGCAUCGCAAGAUGACAGUUGUUAAAGCGAGCAAUCGCGCCUAAAGAGCAGCCUGCGGCAGAUUAGGAGUUGGUAAGGUAAUGGCUUACCAAGCCUGCGAUCUGUAACCGACCUGAGA
Molecule: ribosomal RNA, 276 nt
Filed under: uncultured bacterium
Lineage: Bacteria
Description: partial 16S ribosomal RNA
Rfam family: Bacterial small subunit ribosomal RNA
Source: RNAcentral